RNAcentral lists this ribosomal RNA (510 nucleotides) under uncultured bacterium. RNAcentral's name for it is "partial 16S ribosomal RNA". It matches the Rfam family "Bacterial small subunit ribosomal RNA", at positions 28 to 523 of the family's 1533-position model. The record is from RNAcentral.
GACGAACGCUGGCAGCGUGCCUAAUACAUGCAAGUCGAGAGAAUGACGAGAAUCUUGCUUCUCUGAUUUAGCGGCGGACGGGUGAGUAACACGUGGGCAACCUGCCCUACAGAUCGGGAUAACUCAGGGAAACCUGGGCUAAUACCGGAUAAUCCUUCGAAUCACAUGUUUUGAAGUUUAAAGGCGCUUCGGCGUCACUGUAGGAUGGGCCCGCGGUGCAUUAGCUAGUUGGUGGGGUAACGGCCUACCAAGGCAACGAUGCAUAGCCGACCUGGGGGGGUGAUCGACCGCAUUGGGACUGAGACACGGCCCAAACUCCUACGGGAGGCAGCAGUAGGGAAUCUUCCACAAUGUACGAAAGUCUGAUGGAGCAACGCCGCGUGAGUGAUGAAGUUUUUCGGAUCGUAAAACUCUGUUGUAAGGGAAGAACAAGUACGUUAGGAAAUGAACGUACCUUGACGGUACCUUAUUAGAAAGCCACGGCUAACUACGUGCCAGCCGCCGCGGUAA